RNAcentral lists this long non-coding RNA (1397 nucleotides) under Homo sapiens (human). RNAcentral describes it as "HSALNT0070853". The record is from RNAcentral. Lineage: Eukaryota; Metazoa; Chordata; Mammalia; Primates; Hominidae.
GUAAAAUUUUAUAUCACUAAAGUAAUGUAUCCUAUUCUACCUGCUUUUAUACUACAUGUGUAUAUCUGUUCAAAAAGUAACCAACUUAAGAGAAUUGUUUUAAGAUGUUUGUAUAGCUUCUUAGGAUUUAGUGUCUUUUAUAGUACCACAAUGAAAAUAAUUUUUUAAUUGAAUUGAAUAAAUAUUAAUUCAUACAGUAAUGUCGCAAUGUAUACAUAAAUGCAAACAUGCACACAUACAUAUUUUUCUUGAUCAAAACCUUUUGAUAGAGAUCAAAUGUGGGUGUGUGUGUAUAUAUAUGUGUGUGUGUGUAUAUACAUAUAUAUAUAUAUUCCCCUUAUGUCUGCUAUAAAGUAUGUGAUAUUUUAUUGCUUUCUUCUUUUUGUUUCAUAAUAUUUAGAUGACUAAAACAUAACUGUGUUAAAACAAUGUGAAUUAAUGUGCCAAUGUGUGUAGUUAUAUAUUAAUCAUGCAAAGGCUGUUGUAUAAUAUAGGUACUCUGCUACAUUUUACAUAUCUGCUUUUUGAGGAAUAAAUACCAGAAAGAAGUGGCCUACAUAAAUCCAAAUGGCUUUAGACAUUUCAAGUACUGGAAAACAAGAUUAUAACUAUUUAUGAAGAAAUGGAACAUCCUUGCUGAAAUCAUCCUGCAACAAGUUGUGCUUUCAUUUAUAAUUGAAAACACCAAACUCUAAUGCUUGAAAAUAAAAUCUAAUAAUCUGUAGUUGGUUGAAUUCAUGGAUGAAGAACCCAUCAAUAUGGAGGACUGACUGUAGCUUUCUUGUUGAGAAACUCAGCAGAGGAAAUAUAGCAUGACAUACUAUCUAACGGAUCUGGAUCCUUUCAUCCACCUGCCUUCUUGGCUACAGUACUCAUGGCAAGCUCUGUAGGAGACACAACUCAUGGCUCAGACAGGACCUAACAGCUUUCUCUGGCUGACUCUACUCAACUUUGGUUCCCACUGACUCAGCCUGCAGAUUAUCUUUGCGGUGCUCCAUUCAUUCCUGUUGGUCAGUCUUCUCCCAAUCUUUGUGUAUUCCCUAAAAAAAUGUACCUCAUGAAAGGUAAUUGCCUGGCAAUUCAGCAUCCAUUCCUGAUGAAAACUGAGGAAAACUCAGAGAAAGUAACCCCAGCUCCACAGAAUUUUGCCAAGUUAUUUUUGCUACAUUUAAGCUUCAUACAAGGUGACUCAAGAGUUGUCUUAAUUCCUGAAAAAAAGGGAAGAUAUGUUCUUUUCCUUAUCAUUCCACUUAACUCCAUCAUGUAAUAUAUCUCCUGCUCACCAAACCAAAGACUUAAAAGAAAAAUGUCUACUCAUCUCUGAUUGAUUCACUCUUCCUCCUUGUAUCUUUCUUUCUACUAAUUCUCAAGAAAAUAAAAAGACGUUUGCUUUAAAA